Molecule: long non-coding RNA, 2421 nt
Organism: Musa acuminata AAA Group (dessert banana)
Lineage: Eukaryota; Viridiplantae; Streptophyta; Magnoliopsida; Zingiberales; Musaceae
Exons: 2
Source: RefSeq, a predicted model, not a curated record
UUAAAAUCGAAGAGGUUAUGGCUCCUUUGUCGCAGGAAAGGUGACACCUGUCUUGCCUUAAGAUAGCAAAGCAGGUAUCACCUUCUGAGACAAAAGAACCUCGUUGAUCCCUUCUCCAGUGGGCCUGAUGGUUCUUGGUCCAACUUCAUCUCCGACAUGUAAAGUCCACUAAAUCGUAUAAACAAGUGGAUGCUGAAACACGCAAAUGAUCGAAAGAGUUAGCAGCAUAGCUGUAACUAUGAACUGGUCAAACAGUAUGCAGAGAUUGAGAAGAGGACGAGAUUCGACAUCUGGCGGACUCAAGCCAAAGGAAAGAGAAUAAUGCAUCAAUGGGAAUCUGCGGAUCUACUCAUUACAUAUGAUCUCCUCAGGAGUCCGUUUCACACCUUCACUCUGUUUCUUGGCAUAUAAAAGCCCUGAAUCGUACAAAGUAGUGGAUGAUAAAAGAACGCAAAUAAUACAAAAAAAUUCAGAAUCAUAAUUGCGGACGAAGUCAACUGUCGUUGACUAAUGUGAACACAUGCAUGCUCACCGGGUCAAGGAUCUGUCAGCACGGCCCACCGAUCGGAGUUCGAUUUCAGAAAUGACUAGGUCGGGCCAUUCACACUGGGAGGUGGUCAAAGAGAGUGCAGGGAUUGAGAGGAAGAUGAGAGCCUCUGCGGCUAUAAGAGUCGGCCAAGUGGAGGAGGAAGGAGCAACAAGUAGGAGUUGGGUUUCCAUGUCCAGGAGAGAUGACACCAACUUCGUCCUCAUCAAGUUGGUGGUGUCUUCUCUCUCCGGCUUCAUCCCCAUGAAGUCGGUGUCAUCCCUACUGGACGCGGAACCUCUAACUCAGCAUUCCUAAUUCAUUUCCAUUGGGGAGCUUUAUCAUCUCUUCGUUUUAAGGUGUUUGAUCUCUGUUUUGCAGGUUGGCUACAUCUGAUCGUGCAGUCUAUAUGGAUAGUUCCGAGUUCAACCUCAUGUACUUCCUCAAGAGAUGUCUGUGUGUGUGUGUGAGAGAGAGAGAGAGAGAGAGAAAGAGAGUGAGAGAUGCUCAAGGACUAAGCCAAGAUACAAAGCGAGUGGUGGUGGCUUGAUUGAGGGCGAAGCUCCACCUUCCCCAACCAUGAGGACUAAUAUCAUGGACCUCUCUCAGUCAGAAUCACAAGGAAGAAAUACUCCAAUUUUCUCAAUUUUUUUCAUGAUUUUAAAUUGAUAUUUGGAUAGUUCCUAACCAUCUCAUUAUUGUUUUAGUUAUUUCAAAUGGUUUAGUGAUUGGUUUAAGUUUUGUCAAUAUUAAAAGAAUAAUUUGAGAAAGUAUUAAGUUUUUCUUAGGGAGUAAUUUGUUUGUUUUUUCUCCAAUUAAAGCCUUUCUUUUUUUCCAACUUAUGAUCUCCCUUGUGCUCCUUUUUCCUUAUCAGAGUUUUACACAUGUAACUUCAAUAUUUUCCUACAACCCCACCACAAUAGAAUGAAGGUCCUAUAAUACUCCAAAUGGAUCUGAGUUGCAUGACAUGAAUCCAGGUUUUUGAAAUAAAAAUCAUAAAUUUCUCAAUAUUGCAGCAUGAUUCCAGACAACAAACCCUCUCUGUUUCAACAUUUCUUGACCACCCCAUGAGCUGCUCGCAUUAGCUUUUCAGGAUUAAAUUCUAUCAUUUGACCAUCUUUAGUUGGUGAUCUUUGUGAGUUAUCUAAUGGUACUAAAGCCAAAUUCAUUUUUUUUUAUCAAUCACUAAUUCCAUGUGCAGAUGGAAUAAAAGAAGAUUAUUGUUGUUGUGAUCCAAAUUGUCUGCUGGUUACUGGAACUGUGAUGCCUAGUUUAUACCUCUGAUUGUAAGCCAGCUUAGAAUUAUAGGUGGUCCUCAGCAAUGAUUUAAUGUACUGAGGAGGUAGGGAAAUGGCACAAAUUCUUUGAGACUGUACCACUUGCUCACCAAUCUAUAAAAUUAUAUGCAGGUUAACCUUGGUGAGAAGGAGGGCUUCACAGUUAUCGAUCCAUGAUGCUUUUGAUCUGCCUUUGCUCCUUAGCCGUCUCAAUAUCCUGCAAGAAAAGAUGCAACAGAAAAGCGAAGAAGAAAAGGAAGCCAUGCCAAAGCUUCUUUUUCUUCUUUUUGCCCUUUUUCUAGCAUUGGAUUACUCUAUUGUUCAUGAGAUGAUUACUACUGGAGUGGAGUACAUAUGUUCUCAUGCAUGUCUUAAGCAACUUUAAAGGGGUCUUAGACUGACUUUAUAUUCCUUGGUGAGCACAAAGCUGUACUACCAAAGUGAGUGACAAAGAGACUUGAAAGAAAAGUAAAAGUUGGCAUUAAAAACAAACCCAUAAGCUCUUUAGUUGUUAGGACUGCUGCUUACAAGGACCCAAGGAACAAGAAAACCAAGCUGUCAGCUUAAUUGAGUGCAUUUGUUACAUUGAUCCCAUUCAAUGCUCAUCUUUUUUUCAUG